GAACGCUGGCGGCAGGCCUAACACAUGCAAGUCGUACGAGAAGGUUCCUUCGGGAACUGGAGAGUGGCGCACGGGUGAGUAACGCGUGGGGACCUACCUUUUAGUGGGGGAUAACGGUUGGAAACGACCGCUAAUACCGCAUACGCCCUUCGGGGGAAAGAUUUAUCGCUAAGAGAUGGACCCGCGUUGGAUUAGAUAGUUGGUGAGGUAACGGCUCACCAAGUCUUCGAUCCAUAGCUGGUUUGAGAGGAUGAUCAGCCACACUGGGACUGAGACACGGCCCAGACUCCUACGGGAGGCAGCAGUGGGGAAUAUUGGACAAUGGGCGCAAGCCUGAUCCAGCCAUGCCGCGUGAGUGAAGAAGGCCUUACGGGUUGUAAAGCUCUUUCAGAUGUGAAGA
This 400-nucleotide ribosomal RNA is filed under the name uncultured Rhodospirillaceae bacterium. RNAcentral describes it as "bacterial SSU rRNA". It matches the Rfam family "Bacterial small subunit ribosomal RNA", at positions 31 to 448 of the family's 1533-position model. The record is from RNAcentral. Lineage: Bacteria; Pseudomonadati; Pseudomonadota; Alphaproteobacteria; Rhodospirillales; Rhodospirillaceae.